GGAUGAACGCUAGCGGGAGGCUUAACACAUGCAAGUCGAGGGGCAUCACGAGGUAGCAAUACUUUGGUGGCGACCGGCGCACGGGUGAGUAACACGUAUGCAACCUUCCCUGUACAGGGGGAUAACCCGGAGAAAUUCGGACUAAUACCCCAUGAUGAUAUUUAUGGGCAUCCAUUGAUAUUUAAAGCUCUGGCGGUACAGGAUGGGCAUGCGCGACAUUAGCUAGUUGGUAAGGUAACGGCUUACCAAGGCUACGAUGUUUAGGGGACCUGAGAGGGUUGUCCCCCACACUGGUACUGAGACACGGACCAGACUCCUACGGGAGGCAGCAGUGAGGAAUAUUGGUCAAUGGGCGCAAGCCUGAACCAGCCAUCCCGCGUGAAGGAAGAAUGCGCUACGCGUUGUAAACUUCUUUUCCAGGGGGAGAAUAAUCCUGUCGUGACAGGACUUGACGGUACUCUGGGAAUAAGCAUCGGCUAACUCCGUGCCAGCAGCCGCGGUAAUACGGAGGAUGCGAGCGUUAUCCGGAUUUAUUGGGUUUAAAGGGUGCGUAGGCGGAUUGAUAAGUCAGUGGUGAAAUUCUACAGCUUAACUGUAGACUUGCCGUUGAUACUGUUAGUCUUGAGUGUGGUCAAGGCAGGCGGAAUGUGUAAUGUAGCGGUGAAAUGCUUAGAUAUUACACAGAACACCGAUUGCGAAGGCAGCUUGCUGGGUCAUUACUGACGCUGAUGCACGAAAGCGUGGGGAUCAAACAGGAUUAGAUACCCUGGUAGUCCGCACAGUAAACUAUGGAUACUCUCUGCCGGCGAUAUAUUGUCGGUGGCCAAGCGAAAGCGUUAAGUAUCCCACCUGGGGAGUACGUUCGCAGGAAUGAAACUCAAAGGAAUUGACGGGGGCCCGCACAAGCGGAGGAACAUGUGGUUUAAUUCGAUGAUACGCGAGGAACCUUACCCGGGUUUGAAUUGCUGAUGUCGGUAUUUGGAGACAGAUACUUCCCUUCGGGGCGUCAGUGAAGGUGCUGCAUGGUUGUCGUCAGCUCGUGCCGUGAGGUGUCGGCUUAAGUGCCAUAACGAGCGCAACCCUUGCCGUUAGUUGCCAUCGGGUCAUGCCGGGCACUCUAUUGGGACUGCCAUCGUAAGAUGUGAGGAAGGUGGGGAUGACGUCAAAUCAGCACGGCCCUUAUGUCCGGGGCGACACACGUGUUACAAUGGGGGGUACAGUGGGAAGCUACCUGGCGACAGGUUGCGGAUCCCCAAAUCCUUUCUCAGUUCGGAUCGGAGUCUGUAACUCGACUCCGUGAAGUUGGAUUCGCUAGUAAUCGCGCAUCAGCCAUGGCGCGGUGAAUACGUUCCCGGGCCU
RNAcentral lists this ribosomal RNA (1359 nucleotides) under uncultured bacterium. RNAcentral describes it as "bacterial SSU rRNA". It matches the Rfam family "Bacterial small subunit ribosomal RNA", at positions 27 to 1381 of the family's 1533-position model. The record is from RNAcentral.